AGUGAACGCUGGCGGUAGGCCUAACACAUGCAAGUCGAACGGCAGCACAGUAAGAGCUUGCUCUUACGGGUGGCGAGUGGCGGACGGGUGAGGAAUACAUCGGAAUCUACUUUUUCGUGGGGGAUAACGUAGGGAAACUUACGCUAAUACCGCAUACGACCUACGGGUGAAAGCAGGGGAUCUUCGGACCUUGCGCGAUUAAAUGAGCCGAUGUCGGAUUAGCUAGUUGGCGGGGUAAAGGCCCACCAAGGCGACGAUCCGUAGCGGGUCUGAGAGGAUGAUCAGCCACACGGGAACUGAGAAACGGUCCAGACUCCUAGGGGAGGCAGCAGUGGGGAAUAUUGGACAAUGGGCGCAAGCCUGUUCCAGCCAUACCGCGUGGGUGAAGAAGGCCUUCGGGUUGUAAAGCCCUUUGUUGGGAAAGAAAAGCAGCAGGUUAAUACCCCGCUGUUCUGACGGUACCCAAAGAAUAAGCACCGGCUAACUUCGUG
Molecule: ribosomal RNA, 491 nt
Filed under: uncultured bacterium
Lineage: Bacteria
Description: partial 16S ribosomal RNA
Rfam family: Bacterial small subunit ribosomal RNA
Source: RNAcentral